UUGAAAAUGAAAUUUCAUACGAAUUUAUGAAUGCAAAUUGAAAUUUGCACAUCCCUAGUCUACAUAAAAAGUGUAGUGAGAACAAAAACGUAUGCUCAAAAACAAAGGUCAGGAAAAAAGUAUCUGAAUAUCAGACAGUACAAAUAUCGAAGAAAUGGAUCCAGUCAAGAGUGGAUGAGCCUUCCGGUCACUUCCUACUGCUGAAAAAGAAAAUAAAGAAUAUAUUUUUAACAGGAAUGGAAGGUUUUGUGAAGUCCUAAUUUUAAUUGAUAUAAGGUACCUUGAACUGUGUUCAGGAAUGUGAAAAGCAGAACAAAUUUUAUGUGGAAGUGAAAUUGCAUAGAAUAAAACUGCAGAAAUGCAGUUUUCUACUUAAAAG
Molecule: long non-coding RNA, 379 nt
Filed under: Salvator merianae (Argentine black and white tegu)
Lineage: Eukaryota; Metazoa; Chordata; Lepidosauria; Squamata; Teiidae
Description: lncRNA (ENSSMRG00000007668.1)
Source: RNAcentral